Pelobates cultripes (western spadefoot toad) is the source of this 582-nucleotide non-coding RNA. NCBI's taxonomy places the organism in Eukaryota, Metazoa, Chordata, Amphibia, Anura, Pelobatidae. The record is from the annotation of a GenBank genome assembly.
UGAUUGGAGUUACUGUAUAAUUGCAUACACCCAAUAUAACAUACAUUGCAUGUUCCUCACUGCUACAUUAGUGUAUUUCAUUCUGCCAUAUUUGCAAACUUGAUGUACAUUUUUAUUUUAAUUAAUUAACCUAAUACUUUCUUAAAAUACAUAUAAAACAAUGAAAAAAAACAGUUCAGACUAACAUUUCAUUAAAACAAACUAACAUAGAACUCUAUUCUUGGCUGUUCUUAAUUCUGGAAUCAGCCUGUGUACCUCUGUUGGCAGACAUAUCCAUGCUCAUUCCCUAAACUGAUCAUAUCUCUUGAAGUUAUCUGAUUCUUAUAACUUUCUGUGUUACGCUGCAUUGCUUGUCUGUCUCCUAAUUUCGAUUUAGCUAAAAUUGCUUUUAUUUGUCUGAUUAUAAGUUUACAAGUAAAGGCUUUAAUUGAUUUAUCUCCACAUGUAUUUUCUCUGUCAAAAUUUUCAAUCAACAAAUUUAAUUUCUCAUUUGCUUUUGAUUUGAUAUCUCGGAUAAAAUAUCUGCAAGAUCUUAAAUAAUGUUGUUUAUUGCACCAAAAACAAAUAACUUUGGGAGUUAUA